RNAcentral lists this unclassified non-coding RNA (349 nucleotides) under soil metagenome. RNAcentral describes it as "partial contains 5.8S ribosomal RNA, internal transcribed spacer 2, and large subunit ribosomal RNA". The stretch from base 1 to 119 matches the Rfam family "5.8S ribosomal RNA", at positions 35 to 154 of the family's 154-position model. The record is from RNAcentral.
GAUGAAGAACGUAGCGAAAUGCGAUAAGUAAUGCGAAUUGCAGAAUCCGUGAGUCAUCGAAUCUUUGAACGCACAUUGCGCCCUCUGGUAUUCCGGAGGGCGUGCCUGUUCGAGCGUCAUUAUCACCCCUCAAGCCCGGCUUGUUGUUGGAUGCAGCGCUUAUCCCGCUCCUCCCAAAGAUAAUGACGGCGUCUGCGACGACUCCUGUACACUGAGCUUUCGGGCACGUACACGGCUAGAAGUCCAGACCCGGUCGCCGUCCCCCCCGCGGGGACACCCAUUACCACAAGGUUGACCUCGGAUCAGGUAGGAAUACCCGCUGAACUUAAGCAUAUCAAUAAGCGGAGGA